UACGUAGGGGGCUAGCGUUGUCCGGAAUCAUUGGGCGUAAAGAGCGUGUAGGCGGUCCGGUAAGUCCGUUGUGAAAGUCAAGGGCUCAACCCUUGAAUGCCGGCGGAUACUGUCGGGCUAGAGUCCGGAAGAGGCAAGUGGAAUUCCCGGUGUAGCGGUGAAAUGCGCAGAUAUCGGGAGGAACACCUAUGGCGAAGGCAGCUUGCUGGGACGGAACUGACGCUGAGACGCGAAAGCGUGGGGAGCAAACAGG
RNAcentral lists this ribosomal RNA (253 nucleotides) under uncultured bacterium. RNAcentral describes it as "partial 16S ribosomal RNA". It matches the Rfam family "Bacterial small subunit ribosomal RNA", at positions 524 to 776 of the family's 1533-position model. The record is from RNAcentral.